UGGCGCCGGCGCACGGGUGCGUAACGCGUAUGCAACCUACCCAUAACAGGGGGAUAACACUGAGAAAUUGGUACUAAUACCCCAUAACAUCAGGACCGGCAUCGGUUCUGGUUGAAAACUCCGGUGGUUAUGGAUGGGCAUGCGUUGUAUUAGCUGGUUGGUGAGGUAACGGCUCACCAAGGCAACGAUACAUAGGGGGACUGAGAGGUUAACCCCCCACAUUGGUACUGAGACACGGACCAA
RNAcentral lists this ribosomal RNA (243 nucleotides) under uncultured bacterium. Its description in RNAcentral is "partial 16S ribosomal RNA". It matches the Rfam family "Bacterial small subunit ribosomal RNA", at positions 90 to 334 of the family's 1533-position model. The record is from RNAcentral.